UGGGAACAGUGGGAGCAAGUUGUUGUCAUGCUGUCCGCUCCCAUUUGUCAUAAUAUAUCAAUCUAUCUACCUACCAAAAAGUAUCCCACCAGCCUAUUGUGAUGUUACUCUAGCAGCAUCUUUAAUGGCACCUGCAAAGUCCUGUCCCUCUUGGACUUGCCCCAACCUGCUGUGUGAGCCAAGCCACAGCCAGUGCCAUCGGGACCCCGUGCGAGCAAGAUCUGCUGGGCCAGCGAUCUGCGCACAGAGAGAACACACGCACGCAGCUGAUGACUGACAACAGUGGCGAAACUUUGCAAAGCUCAGGAAAGCGUGACUCCUGGUUGGGGCAAUGGUACUGCAGGCUCCUGGGACAUGACCCCACCUACUUCCAGACAGAAUUGUAAAGUGCAGUUGCAAUCACCCCGUCUGUGUGCACAGAAAUCUGAGAGGCUGUGGCUGAAAAUGUGGUUGCAGUAAUUAUCAAAAGCAGAUCUAACGUUACAUCUCCUGCUCUCCAUAUCCAUAGACUGGGAGCAAAAUUUGGCAAGACUCAAGAAAUCCCACCCAGCUCUGGGGUACAAUAUACCUUCGCCCUGUGAGGUUUUUGUUAUUUUUCUGUAUAAAAUAAAUACAAGCACUAGAGAGA
Molecule: long non-coding RNA, 628 nt
Organism: Mauremys reevesii (Reeves's turtle)
Lineage: Eukaryota; Metazoa; Chordata; Testudines; Geoemydidae
Exons: 3
Source: RefSeq, a predicted model, not a curated record